ACACUCCUACGGGAGGCAGCAGUGGGGAAUAUUGCACAAUGGGCGCAAGCCUGAUGCAGCCAUGCCGCGUGUAUGAAGAAGGCCUUCGGGUUGUAAAGUACUUUCAGCGGGGAGGAAGGCAAUACGGUUAAUAACCGUGUUGAUUGACGUUACCCGCAGAAGAAGCACCGGCUAACUCCGUGCCAGCAGCCGCGGUAAUACGGAGGGUGCAAGCGUUAAUCGGAAUUACUGGGCGUAAAGCGCACGCAGGCGGUCUGUCAAGUCGGAUGUGAAAUCCCCGGGCUCAACCUGGGAACUGCAUUCGAAACUGGCAGGCUUGAGUCUUGUAGAGGGGGGUAGAAUUCCAGGUGUAGCGGUGAAAUGCGUAGAGAUCUGGAGGAAUACCGGUGGCGAAGGCGGCCCCCUGGACAAAGACUGACGCUCAGGUGCGAAAGCGUGGGGAGCAAACAGGAUUAGAUACCCGUGUAGUCCCA
RNAcentral lists this ribosomal RNA (473 nucleotides) under uncultured organism. Its description in RNAcentral is "partial 16S ribosomal RNA". It matches the Rfam family "Bacterial small subunit ribosomal RNA", at positions 333 to 797 of the family's 1533-position model. The record is from RNAcentral.